AGUCGGGAAUCCCACUGUGAUGUUGAAGAUGAUCCUUCCGCGUAACACUUGCCGAAGCCUUAGCAGCCUGAAAAGGUGCAGUCUCGACGACUAUAAUCAAAAGAGGACCGCUCAAAUGCUAGUCUGCCCAAAGCAGGCGACACUAUCAAAUUGCGGGAACACCCUAAAGACCUCAACACCAAGCGUUUGUGGGAAACCAUGACGUGGCCGAGCUAAUAGCCCUGGGUAUGGUAACAGUUUGAGGUAUGAUGCCCCUGUUGGGGUUGAAAUGGGCAAUCCGCAGCCAAGUCCUAAAGUGCUCGCGUUCGGGCGCCAUGGAUGCUGUUCACAGGCCAAAUGGUAGUGGGUGACUCUGAAUGGAGUUGCUUAAGAUAUGGUCGGGCCCCUUCAGAAAUGUUGGGGGUAAGUUUACGCUAUCAGACAUAAAUUCAAGGAAAGAUCAGUCUCUCUAAUGAGUUUGUCUGUAAGAACAACCGUUCCGUAGGUGAACCUGCGGAAGGAUCAUUACUGAGGGGGUUUACCCCCGUCAAGAUACCACCCUUGCCUUUGAGUACCUUCUGUUUCCUCGGCGGGUUCGCUCGCCAACGGGGACAACAACAACAUCUUUUGUAAUUGAAGUACACGUCUUUACUAAAUCAAAAUCAAAACUUUCAACAACGGAUCUCUUGGUUCUGGCAUCGAUGAAGAACGCAGCGAAAUGCGAUAAGUAGUGUGAAUUGCAGAAUUCAGUGAAUCAUCGAAUCUUUGAACGCACAUUGCGCCCUUUGGUAUUCCUUAGGGCAUGCCUGUUCGAGCGUCAUCUAAACCUCAAGCAUUGCUUGGUGUUGGGCGUUUGUCCUACUUCUAGUGUGGACUCGCCUCAAAUAUAUUGGCGGCCCGUGUAUUGGGCUUCGAGCGCAGCAGACUCGCGUCUCGAUUCUCUCUCUACGCGGAUAUUCCAUUAAGAAUACCUCAAAGUUUGACCUCGGAUCAGGUAGGGAU
RNAcentral lists this ribosomal RNA (981 nucleotides) under Aquasubmersa mircensis. RNAcentral's name for it is "eukaryotic LSU rRNA". The stretch from base 646 to 799 matches the Rfam family "5.8S ribosomal RNA". The record is from RNAcentral. Lineage: Eukaryota; Fungi; Ascomycota; Dothideomycetes; Pleosporales.